Molecule: small nuclear RNA, 107 nt
Filed under: Catagonus wagneri (Chacoan peccary)
Lineage: Eukaryota; Metazoa; Chordata; Mammalia; Artiodactyla; Tayassuidae
Source: RNAcentral
GUGCUUGCUUCCACAGCACGUAUACUAAAAUUGGAACGAUACAGAGAAGAUUAGCAUGGCCGCUGCACAAUGAUGACGCACAAAUUUGUGAAGCAUGCCCUAUUUUU